RNAcentral lists this ribosomal RNA (909 nucleotides) under uncultured bacterium. RNAcentral's name for it is "bacterial SSU rRNA". It matches the Rfam family "Bacterial small subunit ribosomal RNA", at positions 8 to 916 of the family's 1533-position model. The record is from RNAcentral.
AGAGUUUGAUCAUGGCUCAGGAUGAACGCUGGCGGCGUGCCUAACACAUGCAAGUCGAGCGGUAUACAUUGGAUUGAAACUUCGGUCGAAUGAAGAUGUAGAGAGCGGCGGACGGGUGAGUAACGCGUAGGCAACCUGCCCCAUACAGAGGGAUAGCCUCGGGAAACCGGGAUUAAAACCUCAUAAUGCGGAAGCUUUCACUUGGAGCAUCCGCCAAAGAUUUAUCGGUAUGGGAUGGGCCUGCGUCUGAUUAGCUAGUUGGUGGGGUAACGGCCUACCAAGGCGACGAUCAGUAGCCGACCUGAGAGGGUAAUCGGCCACAUUGGAACUGAGACACGGUCCAAACUCCUACGGGAGGCAGCAGUGGGGAAUAUUGCACAAUGGGCGAAAGCCUGAUGCAGCAACGCCGCGUGAGCGAUGAAGGCCUUUGGGUCGUAAAGCUCUGUCCCUGGGGAAGAAAAAAAUGACGGUACCCUUGGAGGAAGCCCCGGCUAACUACGUGCCAGCAGCCGCGGUAAUACGUAGGGGGCAAGCGUUAUCCGGAAUUAUUGGGCGUAAAGAGUGCGUAGGUGGUUUUGUAAGCGCGGGGUGAAAGGCAAUAGCUUAACUAUUGUAAGCCCUGCGAACUGUGAGACUUGAGUGCAGGAGAGGAAAGCGGAAUUCCUAGUGUAGCGGUGAAAUGCGUAGAUAUUAGGAGGAACACCAGUGGCGAAGGCGGCUUUCUGGACUGUAACUGACACUGAGGCACGAAAGCGUGGGGAGCAAACAGGAUUAGAUACCCUGGUAGUCCACGCCGUAAACGAUGAGCACUAGGUGUCGGGGCCGCAAGGUUUCGGUGCCGCAGUUAACGCAUUAAGUGCUCCGCCUGGGGAGUACGCACGCAAGUGUGAAACUCAAAUGAAUUGACGG